This 201-nucleotide ribosomal RNA is filed under the name uncultured bacterium. Its description in RNAcentral is "partial 16S ribosomal RNA". It matches the Rfam family "Bacterial small subunit ribosomal RNA", at positions 524 to 723 of the family's 1533-position model. The record is from RNAcentral.
GACGUAGGAGGCGAGCGUUGUCCGGAUUCAUUGGGCGUAAAGAGCACGCAGGCGAUUUGGCAAGUCGGAUGUGAAAACCCGAAGCUCAACUUCGGGCCUGCAUCCGAAACUGCCCGACUAGAGGUAGGUAGGGGAGAUCGGAAUUCCUGGUGUAGCGGUGAAAUGCGCAGGAUAUCAGGAGGAACACCGGUGGCGAAGGCG